This 441-nucleotide ribosomal RNA is filed under the name uncultured bacterium. RNAcentral's name for it is "partial 16S ribosomal RNA". It matches the Rfam family "Bacterial small subunit ribosomal RNA", at positions 338 to 795 of the family's 1533-position model. The record is from RNAcentral.
ACUACGGGGUGCAGCAGUGGGGAAUUUUGCGCACUGGGGGAAACCCUGACGCAGCACCGCCGCGUGCGGGACGAAGGCCCUCGGGUCGUAAACCGCUUUCAGCAGGGAAGCCCUUACGACGGUACCUGCAGAAGAAGCUCCGGCUAACUACGUGCCAGCAGCCGCGGUACUACGUACGGGGCGAGCGUUAUCCGGAUUCGUUGGGCGUAAAGCGCGCGUAGGCGGACGCCUCAGCGGAACCUCUAACCCCGGGGAUCAACCUCGGGCCGGGUUCCGGGCUGGGCGGCUCGAGUGCGGUAGAGGAGAGCGGAAUUCCCGGUGGAGCGGUGGAAUGCGCAGAUAUCGGGAAGAACACCGAUGGCGAAGGCAGCUCUCUGGGCCGUCACUGACGCUGAGGCGCGAAAGCUGGGGGAGCGAACAGGAUUAGAUACCCUUGUAGUC